Molecule: long non-coding RNA, 1324 nt
Organism: Eriocheir sinensis (Chinese mitten crab)
Lineage: Eukaryota; Metazoa; Arthropoda; Malacostraca; Decapoda; Varunidae
Exons: 9
Source: RefSeq, a predicted model, not a curated record
GAAGAGUUAGCCACAGCCUGAAACACAAGAAAACACGCCAAACAGAUAUGCCAGGAAAAAAACAAUUAUACAUGUGCUCCCCUGCAGAGGUGCCAAGUCUUCAUCCUCACCACCAUCUAUUAUCCAUUUUCUGGCCCAUAACUAUUACAACGAACCAUUAGUAAUUAUCAAAUUAAACGAGAAAUACAAGUGAAUUUCAUGAAUGUGGUUGAGAGGGUAGUUUUUGGGUGUACACUUGGCAUAUGACGGUGAAAAUGUGGCCGCUUGCAUCGCCUCCUCCUCCUUCCUCCCGCCAUCUUCAUCUGUCAGCUGAUCCGAGGUGGACGGCGUUCCGCGUGUCGGCCAAUUUCCUUGUAAUCCAGGACGACACAGACGGCCAUGGAUGGAAGCAAGAUGCUGGACUUUGUGGACCCUGGCGGCCAUGAGGAGGUGUCCGUGGGCGCUGGGCAAGGCCGAGAGCGAGGAGUACAGCACACUAGAUGAGGGGGACCAUGGAUGGUGCAGGGCUCUCAGGAGAUGGACAAGCAGAAACAGGGGACCAGAACUCACAGGUGUUCUUUAUUGAGUGUGUGAGUGCUGCUGUCGUCACCAUGAACACCUGCUCGGAGGCACCAAGACCCAUCAAGCCAGUCCGCCAUGCAAGACUGCCUGGUCAAGAUGGGGUCCAGCCUUGCACAGAACUGCUUGGCUGGCCAGUGCCACAAGUUGGUGGUGACAAAGUAAAGCCCUCCAUGACUGCUACAGCCUGAUGGAUCUCAAGGUGUGUGGUGACCCAGGCUGUGGAGGGUGGCUGCCACACUCACUGCUCCAGCCACUCACAGCUGUACCUCAGGAGCCAGACACCAUCUGCUUCACUCCUGCCCAGACUUUGCCACUCACACACAACAGCUGCUUCAUCUUAAGGAUCAGCGAUGUGGAACCAGCUGUACCACCACCACCACCACCACCACCAGGGGAGCCACUCACUGCCACAAGAAGGAAGGAAGCAGCUGUGAUGAAUAGUUUUUGAGAUGCUGAGGUUAAAAGAGACCCCCUCCCCCAGCUGGGCUGCCCGAGUGCGCCUGGGGGAUAGUCUCGCUGCGAGGGAUUAGCAAUGAAGGGGUUAACAGCUGCUGGCAGGAAGAAGAAGAAGAAGAAGAAGAAAAAGAAGAGGACACACAGAGAGAGAAGAGGAGGAAGAAGAAGAGGAAGGAUUUGUAAUAUGGCAGACAUCAAACCAAUGGAAGAAGAAGAAGAAGAAGAAGAAAAAGAAGAGGACACACAGAGAGAGAAGAGGAGGAAGAAGAAGAGGAAGGAUUUGUAAUAUGGCAGACAUCAAACCAAU